RNAcentral lists this ribosomal RNA (375 nucleotides) under Triticum aestivum (bread wheat). RNAcentral describes it as "partial small subunit ribosomal RNA". The record is from RNAcentral. Lineage: Eukaryota; Viridiplantae; Streptophyta; Magnoliopsida; Poales; Poaceae.
AUGCUCGGCUGCGAGCAGAAGAGCUCAGUAGCACGGGCCUACCGGCCAUGGCGGACGGCGGCGCGGGAGCUCGCAGGGUACUGCGCUACAACACGCGGACGACAAGGAAAGAAGGGGGAAAGGGACCAGGGCUCACGGCGAGGUGAAGGGUGCAGACGGCGGGGCUGGGGACGACCCGGUUGGCGCGAAUUGGAGCCAGCGAUUUCGGUGGCCCGAGGUAGAAGACGACGACGUCGAGGGUGUUGCGGUGCUUCCCAGCUCACGUGGCUCGGUGGAGUUGACGGGGACGGCGUGGCGGAGCUCUCGAUCACGUUGGAUGGGCAAGGGGGCUCGGUGGCCGCGGUGGUGACGAGCAGCGACGGCGAGCUCCGCUAG